This 539-nucleotide ribosomal RNA is filed under the name Coregonus sardinella (least cisco). Its description in RNAcentral is "partial large subunit ribosomal RNA". It matches the Rfam family "Bacterial large subunit ribosomal RNA", at positions 1857 to 2591 of the family's 2925-position model. Lineage: Eukaryota; Metazoa; Chordata; Actinopteri; Salmoniformes; Salmonidae. The record is from RNAcentral.
GCCUGCCCUGUGACCAUGGGUUUAACGGCCGCGGUAUUUUGACCGUGCGAAGGUAGCGCAAUCACUUGUCUUUUAAAUGAAGACCUGUAUGAAUGGCAUCACGAGGGCUUAGCUGUCUCCUCUUCCAAGUCAGUGAAAUUGAUCUGCCCGUGCAGAAGCGGGCAUAAGUACAUAAGACGAGAAGACCCUAUGGAGCUUUAGACACCAGGCAGAUCACGUCAAGCAACCUUGAGUUAACAAGUAAAAACGCAGUGACCCCUAGCCCAUAUGUCUUUGGUUGGGGCGACCGCGGGGGAAAACAAAGCCCCCAUGUGGACUGGGGGCACUGCCCCCACAGCCGAGAGCUACAGCUCUAAGCACCAGAAUUUCUGACCAGAAAUGAUCCGGCGAACGCCGAUCAACGGACCGAGUUACCCUAGGGAUAACAGCGCAAUCCUCUCCCAGAGUCCCUAUCGACGAGGGGGUUUACGACCUCGAUGUUGGAUCAGGACAUCCUAAUGGUGCAGCCGCUAUUAAGGGUUCGUUUGUUCAACGAUUAA